CAGUCGCCGCGGGAAAACGGAGGGGGCUAGCGUUGUUCGGAAUUACUGGGCGUAAAGCGUACGUAGGCGGCUUUGUAAGUUAGAGGUGAAAGCCUGGUGCUCAACACCAGAACUGCCUUUAAGACUGCAUCGCUUGAACGUCGGAGAGGUGAGUGGAAUUCCGAGUGUAGAGGUGAAAUUCGUAGAUAUUCGGAAGAACACCAGUGGCGAAGGCGACAUACUGGAUCAUUACUGACGCUGAGGCUCGAAAGCGUGGGGAGCAAACAGGAUUAGAUACCCCCGUAGUCCCUGUCUCUUAUAC
RNAcentral lists this ribosomal RNA (301 nucleotides) under uncultured bacterium. Its description in RNAcentral is "partial 16S ribosomal RNA". It matches the Rfam family "Bacterial small subunit ribosomal RNA", at positions 509 to 807 of the family's 1533-position model. The record is from RNAcentral.